Oxyura jamaicensis (ruddy duck) is the source of this 458-nucleotide long non-coding RNA. RefSeq lists it as uncharacterized. The record is from RefSeq and is a predicted model, not a curated record. Lineage: Eukaryota; Metazoa; Chordata; Aves; Anseriformes; Anatidae. The transcript is spliced from 3 exons.
AACUCUUGAUACUUCUUUGAAUCUCCUGCUUGGCAAACACUCCAGCUCCUGAGCAAUGGGAGGAAUGAUGGAAAGGCACUUCUGUCUUCAAAUCAAGCCAGUAACUCUUCUGAGGUUGCAUAGAUCUGCUCUAGAAUGGGGAUAUUACUGUUCAUAUGUUCAUGACAGCAGUGGAUUUUCACCCAAAUAUGCAUGUGUGAAAGAAAGAGAGAGGGGGAAGAAAGAUGUUAGAACAUGUCACUGGUAAAUACAGCCCAGGAGAAGGGACAGAACCAGUCUAAAUGAUUUCAAUAUCCAGUCUAAAGUGAUAUUGAGAGUGUUCAAUAGAAGGGGGAUGAAAUCAGGGAGCCCUGAAGGCUCAGAGGAGGCCACAAAUCUCUGGAUGACUCGAUGGAUCCUUUUGGAGUCAUCCCACCUGACCUUAACCUGUCUUAUUUAACCUGCAGGCUGCUGGUAAG